GAGUUUGAUCGUGGCUCAGAUUGAACGCUGGCGGCAUGCCUUACACAUGCAAGUCGAACGGCAGCACGGGAGCUUGCUCCUGGUGGCGAGUGGCGAACGGGUGAGUAAUGCAUCGGAACGUAUCCUGGAGUGGGGGAUAACGUAGCGAAAGUUACGCUAAUACCGCAUAUUCUGUGAGCAGGAAAGCGGGGGACCUUCGGGCCUCGCGCUCUUGGAGCGGCCGAUGUCGGAUUAGCUAGUUGGUGAGGUAAAGGCUCACCAAGGCGACGAUCCGUAGCAGGUCUGAGAGGAUGAUCUGCCACACUGGAACUGAGACACGGUCCAGACUCCUACGGGAGGCAGCAGUGGGGAAUUUUGGACAAUGGGGGCAACCCUGAUCCAGCCAUGCCGCGUGAGUGAAGAAGGCCUCGGUGUAA
Molecule: ribosomal RNA, 416 nt
Filed under: bacterium enrichment culture clone ALO1_GLFRUDD03FTJFM
Lineage: Bacteria
Also listed under: 1 other name
Description: bacterial SSU rRNA
Rfam family: Bacterial small subunit ribosomal RNA
Source: RNAcentral